GGUAACUGAUGAUUAGUGAUCUUGAUUCAUCAAAAACUUGACCUUGUAUGGCCAUAUAGAUGGUAGUUUAUCUUUGAAAUUCCAUUGAUUCGAUGAUGAUGACAGUGGAUCAAUGAGACGAGUCAUACAAACUCACCCACAUACAACGUACGAUACCGUUCGAUUGUGAACAUCUGUAAUUUCUUAUUGUGUGUCUUGUCUUUUCUGAUCAUUUUUUUUGUCAUUUUGUUUUUAGUUUAUUCUACUUUUUUUUGUUUUGUUUUGUUUUGAGAAAGCCUUCAAUUUUCAUUUGGUUUCUUCCAUUUUUCUUUCUCACAUUCAAGACAUUGAUCAUUCUACGUUAUUCAAAGUAAACUAGUCAUAGUCAGGAUGAGGCAAUAAAAAAUGGGUGAAAAAAAAAAUUUUUGUAUUCUGUAAGCGUCGAACCGAGCAAAUACUCACACACAGGGGAAAGCAAACGAGAAAGUCAAAAAAUAAAUCAUCGAAAAAUAAUGUUUCAAGAAAAAAAAACAACAACAACAACAACAUUGGAUCGGGUUAGAAUUGUCUAGCUGGUUGGCUGACUUGGUUAAUUUUUCCACAUCGUAACAUCAAAUUAAUAACUUUAAUCGGCUUCUCUCUCUCCCAUGUUGAUGAUGAUGAUGAUGAUCAAAAAUUCUGAGAUUCAUUGAAGAAAUUCCAAUGAAAGCACCGGAGGACAACAAAGAAAAAAAUAAAUAAAUUCCAAAAGACAGGUUACGCGUGAAAAUUGGUGUUUUAUUUUCCACCGAAUCCAGUCUCACAAUGUUGAAUUGAAUGUCAAUCAUUGUGAAAUAUACAAGUAUCGAAUAACAGACAGACA
Long non-coding RNA from Dermatophagoides farinae (American house dust mite), 841 nucleotides. RefSeq lists it as uncharacterized. The record is from RefSeq and is a predicted model, not a curated record. NCBI's taxonomy places the organism in Eukaryota, Metazoa, Arthropoda, Arachnida, Sarcoptiformes, Pyroglyphidae.